RNAcentral lists this ribosomal RNA (560 nucleotides) under uncultured Sebacinales. RNAcentral's name for it is "eukaryotic LSU rRNA". It matches the Rfam family "Eukaryotic large subunit ribosomal RNA", at positions 81 to 618 of the family's 3401-position model. Lineage: Eukaryota; Fungi; Basidiomycota; Agaricomycetes; Sebacinales. The record is from RNAcentral.
UAGUAACGGCGAGUGAAGAGGGAAAAGCUCAAAUUUUGAAUCUGGUGUCUUUGGCGCCCGAGUUGUAAUCUAGAGAAGUGUUUUCUGCCUCGGACCACACAUAAAUUCCCUGGAAUGGGGUGUCAUAGAGGGUGAGAAUCCCGUUUGUGGUGUGGACUACCUUGGCUCUGUGAUACACUCUCAACGAGUCGAGUUGUUUGGGAAUGCAGCUCAAAAUGGGUGGUAAAUUCCAUCUAAAGCUAAAUAUUGGCGAGAGACCGAUAGCGAACAAGUACCGUGAGGGAAAGAUGAAAAGCACUUUGGAAAGAGAGUGAAACAGUACGUGAAAUUGUUGAAAGGGAAGCGUUUGAAGUCAGUCACAUCGGUCGGAAUUCAGCCUGGCUUUGCCUGGUGUACUUUUUGGCAGAUGGGUCAGCGUCAAUUUUGACUGAGGGAAAAAGACUUGAGGAAUGUGGCUGUCUUCGGGCAGUGUUAUAGCCUCUUGUUGUAUGUCUCAGUUGGGAUUGAGGACCGCAGCACGCCUUAUGGCCGGGGUUCGCGCCCUCGGAACGUGCUUAGGA